CCUACGGGUGGCAGCAGUGGGGAAUAUUGGACAAUGGGCGAAAGCCUGAUCCAGCCAUGCCGCGUGUGUGAAGAAGGCCUUCGGGUUGUAAAGCACUUUCAGUGGGGAAGAAAGCCUUGGGGCUAAUACCCUCGAGGAAGGACAUCACCCACAGAAGAAGCACCGGCUAACUCCGUGCCAGCAGCCGCGGUAAUACGGAGGGUGCGAGCGUUAAUCGGAAUUACUGGGCGUAAAGCGCGCGUAGGCGGUCUGAUAAGCCGGCUGUGAAAGCCCCGGGCUCAACCUGGGAACGGCAUCCGGAACUGUCAGGCUAGAGUGCAGGAGAGGAAGGUAGAAUUCCCGGUGUAGCGGUGAAAUGCGUAGAGAUCGGGAGGAAUACCAGUGGCGAAGGCGGUCUUCUGGACUGACACUGACGCUGAGGUGCGAAAGCGUGGGUAGCAAACAGGAUUAGAUACCCUAGUAGUC
This 465-nucleotide ribosomal RNA is filed under the name Vreelandella stevensii. RNAcentral's name for it is "partial 16S ribosomal RNA". It matches the Rfam family "Bacterial small subunit ribosomal RNA", at positions 338 to 795 of the family's 1533-position model. Lineage: Bacteria; Pseudomonadati; Pseudomonadota; Gammaproteobacteria; Oceanospirillales; Halomonadaceae. The record is from RNAcentral.